UUAGUGGCGAACGGGUGAGUAACACGUGAGUAACCUGCCCUUGACUCUGGGAUAAGCGCUAGAAAUGGCGUCUAAUACCGGAUACGAGCUUCAGCCGCAUGGCUAGGAGUUGGAAAGAAUUUUGGUCAAGGAUGGACUCGCGGCCUAUCAGCUAGUUGGUGAGGUAAUGGCUCACCAAGGCGACGACGGGUAGCCGGCCUGAGAGGGUGACCGGCCACACUGGGACUGAGACACGGCCCAGACUCCUACGGGAGGCAGCAGUGGGGAAUAUUGCACAAUGGGCGAAAGCCUGAUGCAGCAACGCCGCGUGAGGGAUGACGGCCUUCGGGUUGUAAACCUCUUUUAGUAGGGAAGAAGCGAAAGUGACGGUACCUGCAGAAAAAGCACCGGCUAACUACGUGCCAGCAGCCGCGGUAAUACGUAGGGUGCAAGCGUUGUCCGGAAUUAUUGGGCGUAAAGAGCUCGUAGGCGGUUUGUCGCGUCUGCUGUGAAAUCUGGGGGCUCAACCCCCAGCCUGCAGUGGGUACGGGCAGACUAGAGUGCGGUAGGGGAGAUUGGAAUUCCUGGUGUAGCGGUGGAAUGCGCAGAUAUCAGGAGGAACACCGAUGGCGAAGGCAGAUCUCUGGGCCGUAACUGACGCUGAGGAGCGAAAGCAUGGGGAGCGAACAGGAUUAGAUACCCUGGUAGUCCAUGCCGUAAA
This 700-nucleotide ribosomal RNA is filed under the name Frigoribacterium sp. Its description in RNAcentral is "bacterial SSU rRNA". It matches the Rfam family "Bacterial small subunit ribosomal RNA", at positions 92 to 806 of the family's 1533-position model. The record is from RNAcentral. Lineage: Bacteria; Bacillati; Actinomycetota; Actinomycetes; Micrococcales; Microbacteriaceae.